RNAcentral lists this ribosomal RNA (720 nucleotides) under uncultured Lachnospiraceae bacterium. RNAcentral's name for it is "bacterial SSU rRNA". It matches the Rfam family "Bacterial small subunit ribosomal RNA", at positions 54 to 776 of the family's 1533-position model. Lineage: Bacteria; Bacillati; Bacillota; Clostridia; Lachnospirales; Lachnospiraceae. The record is from RNAcentral.
CAUGCAAGUCGAACGGAAACCUUUUAUUGAAGCUUCGGCAGAUUUAGAUUGUUUCUAGUGGCGGACGGGUGAGUAACGCGUGGGUAACCUGCCUUAUACAGGGGGAUAACAGUCAGAAAUGACUGCUAAUACCGCAUAAGCGCACAGGACCGCAUGGUCCGGUGUGAAAAACUCCGGUGGUAUAAGAUGGACCCGCGUUGGAUUAGCUAGUUGGUGAGGUAACGGCCCACCAAGGCAACGAUCCAUAGCCGGCCUGAGAGGGUGAACGGCCACAUUGGGACUGAGACACGGCCCAGACUCCUACGGGAGGCAGCAGUGGGGAAUAUUGCACAAUGGGGGAAACCCUGAUGCAGCGACGCCGCGUGAAGGAAGAAGUAUCUCGGUAUGUAAACUUCUAUCAGCAGGGAAGAAAAUGACGGUACCUGACUAAGAAGCCCCGGCUAACUACGUGCCAGCAGCCGCGGUAAUACGUAGGGGGCAAGCGUUAUCCGGAUUUACUGGGUGUAAAGGGAGCGUAGACGGAUGGACAAGUCUGAUGUGAAAGGCUGGGGCUCAACCCCGGGACUGCAUUGGAAACUGCCCGUCUUGAGUGCCGGAGAGGUAAGCGGAAUUCCUAGUGUAGCGGUGAAAUGCGUAGAUAUUAGGAGGAACACCAGUGGCGAAGGCGGCUUACUGGACGGUAACUGACGUUGAGGCUCGAAAGCGUGGGGAGCAAACAGG